GAUGAAGAACGCAGCGAAAUGCGAUACGUAAUGUGAAUUGCAGAAUUCAGUGAAUCAUCGAGUCUUUGAACGCACAUUGCGCCCCCUGGUAUUCCGGGGGGCAUGCCUGUCCGAGCGUCAUUGCUGCCCUCAAGCACGGCUUGUGUGUUGGGCUCCGUCCCCCCGGGGACGGGCCCGAAAGGCAGCGGCGGCACCGAGUCCGGUCCUCGAGCGUAUGGGGCUUUGUCACCCGCUCUGUAGGCCCGGCCGGCGCCAGCCGACAACACAUCAUCCUUUUCAGGUUGACCUCGGAUCAGGUAGGGAUACCCGCUGAACUUAAGCAUAUCAAUAAGCGGAGGA
RNAcentral lists this unclassified non-coding RNA (339 nucleotides) under soil metagenome. RNAcentral describes it as "partial contains 5.8S ribosomal RNA, internal transcribed spacer 2, and large subunit ribosomal RNA". The stretch from base 1 to 120 matches the Rfam family "5.8S ribosomal RNA", at positions 35 to 154 of the family's 154-position model. The record is from RNAcentral.